RNAcentral lists this long non-coding RNA (300 nucleotides) under Trifolium pratense (red clover). Its description in RNAcentral is "long non-coding RNA (TPRA_LNC013340)". Lineage: Eukaryota; Viridiplantae; Streptophyta; Magnoliopsida; Fabales; Fabaceae. The record is from RNAcentral.
AUGGAAUUAAAAGAUACCAUAGUAGAGAAUGGUAUGAGUAGUAGAGUUAUUUCAAGAUGGAAGUGGGGUGACAAUUUGAUGGAUUUUGUAAGAGCUUGUCGAGAAAGAAUAAUUUCAUUUGGAUAAUGAUCGGACGAUUAGUGUCGGAGUUGGAUGAAACCUUAGGAGGUUGAGAUGGAACUGAGAGCGAAGUAUCAUUUUUUGGAUGUUUGGAAAUAAGAAAGUAUCAGAGAGAGUGUUUUGUAACAUUCGGAAGUAAGAAUGAGAUUGACAACGACUUAUUGGAAAAGUCGGUGGAGA